UUUGGUGGGGUAAUGGCCUACCAAGUCUACGAUCUAUAGCUGGUUUUAGAGGAUGAUCAGCAACACUGGGACUGAGACACGGCCCAGACUCCUACGGGAGGCAGCAGUGGGGAAUCUUAGACAAUGGGCGCAAGCCUGAUCUAGCCAUGCCGCGUGUGUGAUGAAGGUCUUAGGAUCGUAAAGCACUUUCGCCAGGGAUGAUAAUGACAGUACCUGGUAAAGAAACCCCGGCUAACUCCGUGCCAGCAGCCGCGGUAAUACGGAGGGGGUUAGCGUUGUUCGGAAUUACUGGGCGUAAAGCGUACGUAGGCGGAUUGGAAAGUUGGGGGUGAAAUCCCAGGGCUCAACCCUGGAACUGCCUCCAAAACUAUCAGUCUAGAGUUCGAGAGAGGUGAGUGGAAUUCCAAGUGUAGAGGUGAAAUUCGUUGAUAUUUGGAGGAACACCAGUGGCGAAGGCGGCUCACUGGCUCGAUACUGACGCUGAGGUACGAAAAGUGUGGGGAGCAAACAGGAUUAGAUACCCUGGUAGUCCACACCGUAAACGAUGAAUGCCAGUCGUCGGGCAGUAUACUGUUCGGUGACACACCUAACGGAUUAAGCAUUCCGCCUGGGGAGUACGGUCGCAAGAUUAAAACUCAA
Molecule: ribosomal RNA, 639 nt
Filed under: uncultured bacterium
Lineage: Bacteria
Description: bacterial SSU rRNA
Rfam family: Bacterial small subunit ribosomal RNA
Source: RNAcentral